Molecule: long non-coding RNA, 1434 nt
Organism: Daphnia carinata
Lineage: Eukaryota; Metazoa; Arthropoda; Branchiopoda; Diplostraca; Daphniidae
Exons: 3
Source: RefSeq, a predicted model, not a curated record
UCAAAAAUGACAUAUUCGAGAACGUGUGUUUUAUAACUAGCUUUUGAGCAUGCACUUGUAUUGUUACUCAGGUGUACCAUCUUGACAUCUCGAAAUAAUCUAACCGUUUUCUAAGUGUCUAGUGUUUAGAGUCUAGGCAAAGUGUCUGUAAGCUUACAAUUGAAGACGAAGGUAAUCCAGCACGGAGUUCCUAGAUAAACUAUAUCUUCAUGAGCAAAAAUACGAUGAGUGCCACGUACGAGUCGUAAAAAACGCUAAAACGUAAAAUUGUGUGUCUUAAACUAUAACGGCCACUAAAUACAUUACUUAGAACUGAAUUUAUGAUUUGUUUUGCUUUUUCCAGCCAAAUUCUUCAUCUGCCUGUCUAGUUCUCAUCUGUGAAAACCAUGACGCAUUAAAGUAGCGUUUCCAUGUCACGUUCUUUUCGGAUAAAUGCUUCGAUUCCGUCAGUUGUUGAAUCGGAAGCUUAGAUUGAAUUUUUUUUCACAUACUUAAUAACCAACACAGUCAGUAAAUAAACAACGGGAGAAUAACGUACUGUGAGUGGCAGAGAUUCACAUUCACGUAGCGAAAACAUGUGAGAUUCCUGAGCGAAUUCCUAACUGGAUUCUUAUUCUGGAGCCAAAAUGGACCAGCAUUGUAAAGGUUUAGUAUCGAUUACUAUUUUUUCAGAACUUUUUCUUCGUUCCAUUGAUGAAUGGUGCCACAGCGCAAUGAGGACUAGUGUUUUUUUUUUUUCAAACGCAAGAAACAUUACACGAAGAACACGAAGAUGAGUUCAUUCGAACCAACGGCUCAAUGCCAAGGAGGGUGAGGAGACUGCGUCGAUAAUAACCAGAAGUAUCUUCCUAUUGUUGAAUAUCAACGUUUCAGAAUGGAUAUGUAUGCUAGCAGAAAAGAACUUACUUUUACGGCGUCAAAGAGCGCUUUGCCAUACAUGCAUUCGUACUCGUACAUAAUGUUGGUUAAAUCAAUUUCACAGCGACUAAGGAUAAUGCGAAUUAAUGUAUCAUUAUCCAUUCCCCAACCGCUUAUUGCAAUUUUCAACCGUUCAGCAAAAUAAGCUGGUCGAUUGCGGAUUGUUUUGACUGGCAAAUAACAAUACAGAUGAGAGAUAACAUUUCGUAGUUGCCGUAUUUUAAAAACAAAUAUACCUAUUGUUAGUAGACCAUUCAAUACUGCACCAGACAAUUUUGAUUUCAUUAGCUGUUCAAUAGUUUUCCCUGAAAUCUUUUCGUAUUCGUGGAAAAUUAUGGUAACUUGUCGACGGCGUUGGACGGCGAAACCGAAUAUGUCCAGGAAAACAUUUACAUUUGUUUCUAUUUUUCGCUCACCUACGUAUUACAUAAUUUUGGCCUUCUCUUUUGCUUUAACUGGAUCGUAAGCACAAUCGCCAAAACCAUUACUCUGGUCUGUCAUUUUCUACAAAUGUAA